Molecule: long non-coding RNA, 1567 nt
Organism: Neltuma alba
Lineage: Eukaryota; Viridiplantae; Streptophyta; Magnoliopsida; Fabales; Fabaceae
Exons: 3
Source: RefSeq, a predicted model, not a curated record
AAGAGAGAGCCACGGCGAUGGCCGAAUAAGGCCUAAACGAGUUACUGAACCCGUCUUCCUCUGCCUGGGACGAGCUUCCACUAAUUAUUUCCGAUUUUCCUUUCCUUUUCAUGUUGGCAUCAGAUUCCCUGUACAAUGAUAGCUGGUGUUUCAGGAUAUAUCGCAUUUUGGUUAUUGGAUAUCUGAUCCCCCCCCCCCCAAAAAAAUCCUCAUAGUGCUUGACUGCUUGACAAUGGGUGUUUUUGGACGGACACAUAAGUGAAGGGGGGAAAAAACAGAGAUGUUGUCCCUCAUUGCCAUUCAUCGACAGUGUUUGGUCGUAUUAUAGUGAUCGUGCAAUGUCUAUAAGAACGGUUGUCAUGCAUCACGUUUUGGCCUCCAUGAUUCAUUGGACUUGUUGCUACUGCUUGUGCCCUGUUCAUUAUUAAAGGAUUUCAAAGCCAUUUUCGUCGUCGUUAUUCGCCGUCCUAAGAGAGGCUCGCUGGCAUGCUUCUUGAGGUUUCUAGCCAUCCUGCCUGGCCGUAUCGCUGAAAAAUCAACCGAGACAGAAAGCUGCUUGCCGCGUUUCAAUUUUCUGGCCCCAACCUUUCAAAUUUCAUGAAAAGGGUGACAUUGAGAUUCCUUGACCAAACAAGUAGGCAUGUUAAAAAUGUAAGUAUCGACGAAACAAUAGAGUUGUUAAGCCAAGCAAAUGAGUCUGGAGCAAAACCUACGAAGGUUGUUCUUUGUAAUGCGCUUAGCUCUUGCGCAAAAACCCAAAAUUGGAAAUUGGGAAUAAAAAUCCAUGCCUAUAUGAUUCGUUCUGGAUAUGAAGAUAAUUUAUUUCUUAGUAGUGCACUUGUUGAUUUCUAUGCAAAAUGCAAUGCUAUUGGGGAUGCAAAGAAAGUAUUUAGUGGCAUGAAAUAACAUGAUCAAGUGUCUUGGACUUCGCUUAUUGCUGGAUUCUCACUAAACGGUAAAGGAAGAGAUGCCUUGUUGUUAUUCAAAGAGAUGCUGAAUACCCAAGUUAAGCCAAAUUGUUUUACCUAUACAAGUGUUAUAAGUGCGUGUGUGGAGCAAAAGGAAGCCCCCAAACAGUGUCCAACUCUUCAUGCUCAUGUUACCAGACAAGGAUUUGAUACUAGCAAUUAUGUGGUAAGCUCGUUAAUUGAUUAUUAUGCAAAAUGGGGACAACUUAAUGACGCUGUAUUAUUAUUUAGUGAAACAUGUGACAAGGAUAAUAUUGUGUAUGCUUCAAUGAUCUGUGGUUAUUCUCAAAACCAAUAUAACGAGGACGCACUUAAACAUUUUGCAGAAAUGAGGAAAAAGAAUUUAACACCUUCUGGUCAUAUUUUAAGUAGCAUUCUGAAUGCUUGUGGCAGCCUUACAGUGCUCUUUCAAGGAAGACAAUUGCACUCAUUGAUUAUUAAAUUGGGUUCUGAAAGCAACGUAUUUGUGGCCAGUGCUUUGAUUGAUAUGUAUUCAAAGGGCGGUGACAUUGAUGAUGCUCGUUGUGUGUUGGAUCAGACUUCUGAAAAGAAUACUGUUCUGUGGACUUCCAUGAUCAUGGGUUAUGCUCAAUGUGGGA